GACGUAGGGGGCAAGCGUUGUCCGGAAUCAUUGGGCGUAAAGCGCUCGUAGGUGGAUCGGUAAGUCUGCAAAGAAAGACCCGGGCUCAACUCGGGGAACGGUGUGGAUACUACCGAUCUUGAGGCAAUCAGAGGAUGAUGGAAUUCCCGGUGUAGCGGUGAAAUGCGUAGAUAUCAGGAGGAACACCGGUGGCGAAGGCGGGUCUCUGGGCAACAACUGACGCUGAGGAGCGAAAGCGUGGGGAGCGAACAGG
Molecule: ribosomal RNA, 253 nt
Filed under: uncultured bacterium
Lineage: Bacteria
Description: partial 16S ribosomal RNA
Rfam family: Bacterial small subunit ribosomal RNA
Source: RNAcentral